Molecule: long non-coding RNA, 452 nt
Organism: Juglans microcarpa x Juglans regia
Lineage: Eukaryota; Viridiplantae; Streptophyta; Magnoliopsida; Fagales; Juglandaceae
Exons: 5
Source: RefSeq, a predicted model, not a curated record
ACACCAAGUAGAUGACGCAUAGUUUUCAGAAAAUACGACAAUCGAAAUAUUUGACUCUUCAAUGGCCUUUAAAAGUGCCGGUGAAAUUUCUUCACCUCUUCUCAGCUCCACAUCAUCUUUAUAAGUGUUGAUUCCUUUUUAAUCCAAAGCAUGGUAAAGAUGACUAGUAAAACCAUUGCUGGUAUCCUCACCGCGAAAGCUUAAGAAGACAUCGUAAUGUUGAGAGGUUAAAGAAGAGGAAUAGGAGGAGGAAGGAGAGGAAAGGACUCCCGGUAAUGCGAUGGAUAAAGACAUUUUGGAUGUAAAGUGUAAUUAGUUGGAGAUGGAUAUACCGUGGAUGACGAUUGGGCACCUUUUAUAAGUUUAAAGAAGUGGAUACCGCGUUGCAAGAGGAACUUCUUAGCAACAUUCCGGUCGGUGGAUCAUAUCGAAUUUCAAAAGCAAAGAAAUCG